This is a non-coding RNA of Delphinapterus leucas (beluga whale), 6675 nucleotides long. The record is from RefSeq and is a predicted model, not a curated record. Lineage: Eukaryota; Metazoa; Chordata; Mammalia; Artiodactyla; Monodontidae.
CCUGCUUCUCGCGGGGCCUGCUCCUGGGAGGCGAAACUCCACACUGAGGGCGCGGAGGCGGUUUCAGACCGCAGCGCCCGGGCUCCUCCUCCCGCGCUACCCAGGGAGGCGGGCUGUGCUCUUUUCAAGGUCCCGCCAAAGGGCCCCGCCCUCCCGGAGGGAGACCUAGCAGCCUUCCCUCCUACACUAGGCCGGGGACCGCCGGACCGGAAGCUGCGGGGUCUCGGGGCCCCGGUUCGUUCUCGCCUAGCCGCAAGCCGCGGGUGCGCAUGCUCCGCGAAGGCCCGCACAGGGCCCGGGUGAACCCUGAUAGAGCCAUCGCGAGGCGGGGGUUAUUGCUGGAAUGGUGGUGGUUUGGGGAACUCUUUUUUGGUGAGACGGUCAAGUGGGAAGGUGCACCCCGUUUCCAGUGGGCUCCCACUUGGUGCUGGCUUGGCUUCCUGGAAAGAGAGUGAAAAGUCAGAGCCUAAGAGCUGCCACUGAACUCCACAGCCUUCACCUUGCCUCUUCCUGUUUGGAAGACCCAGGUCCAGUUAGCGCCGUCCUGCUUCCCAACUAGGAGCCCGUCCACUGAGGACUCCUCUCCGGUUUGAGGACUUUGAGCCAUGAGCCAAAGCAGGAAACUCAGCAAUCCAGGGGCCUCUCCGAGAUGCUGAGACAGGGCCGUGGAGCCCCAAGACUGCAGUGCCCUGCUUGGAAUCUGCUGUGGGAUGAUUCUGCAACCGAUGUGAUGAUGCAACAGCUGUGCAUGAAUGACAUGAGAAAGCUGGGCCCCUUGGCCCUAAGGGAUGCUUCCACCACACUGUCAGCAGGAGGGAGCUCCUCCUAGGAGCUUAAAUCAGGACUCAUCUUUCUGUGGGACCCAAGCCUCCAUGUUGGAAGUGGAGAAAAUGGGACAUGAGGCAUUGAGCUACCUGCCCAGCACUCUAACCAGAUCUCUGACCAGGUAUCUUGUCAUCCUUCCCCAGUACCAGGGGCAGGGAGAAGGGCUCUUACCCUCAGGAAGCUCCCAGUUUCACAAAGGAGGCAAAAUUUGCUCACCAAAGAAUGGCGAAUGGAAGCAGUCUAAAGUCCAGGGCACAAGCCAAGGUCCUGUGGUUAGGGCUGAGGUGGUCAGAAGAGAGAGAUUUUAGGAGCAAGGGGAUCCAGAAGCUUUCUCUUUGAGGUCUGGAAUUGCACCAUGAUGGCCCAGAACCUGGCAUGAUUCUGCUACGCGAAAACUUACGUGUCUUCAAUUCUAGAGAUUUCUUAGCCAUUGUCUCUCUGAAGAUUGCCUCUCGUUCUUUCCAACCUCUCUUUCUGAAAUUCUGCGUGACAUAGGUUGGACCGUCUCAUUCUAUUCUUCACACCUCUCACUCUUCCCUAUUUUCCACUUAUUUACUUCUUUGUGCUGUAUUUUGGGUGAAUUCUCAGAUCUCCUUUUCUAGCUCUGUUUCUCCCACCGAGUUUGAAAUUUCAAUGAUUAUUCUUUUUAUUUUGGAAGUUCUACAGUCUGGCUUUUGAAACUCAAAAUCCAAGAAUUCUAGCCUAUUCUCUGAGCCAACAAACGCUGGAGUGGUCAAGCUCCCGCUUCCCACCUAGCAUCCUGGGACUGACGCUUCCAGCCCCCAGCAGCCUCCCUAGGUCCCCUCCAGUUAUCCCAGGGGCUAUGCGAGCACUCACAUUCUCUAUGCGUACCUCAAACUAGCUACAGGAAGUGGGCGAAGCUAGGCAGUGCAGGAAAAUAUUGGGGGAAAAGACUGGCUAAUAUUUUUAAAAAUAUUAUCUCACCAUAUAUCCCAUCCUAUGUGGUAGAUACUACUAUUGCCAUAAUUACAAUGAUCAUUAUUGGUCUACCACCUUUCCACCUAACCUUGGGAAUGUUUCCCUAUUCCUCGCUAAACCUUGGUUUCCUCACCUGAGGCUGAGCUAAUAGCUGCAUUUGACACCUGAUUCCUUUCUUCAUCAGUCCCUGAUAAUUCCCCAUAAUCUUUCUCCCUCUCCUUUUCCUGGUCCAGUGAAGGGUCUAGGCUGGCAGAGGCCUGGGUCCUGAUAACAGUGGAACAAUGACAGCAGAAGUCCCUGAGCGAGGGCGUGGGAACCAGCCGAGGUUAUGGGGAGAGGGACAGGAAAAGGGGAGCGGAAAGCCAACAGCUGGACAGGCAGACACGUCCGCCCCAGCCUUGCCCUGGAAGCUCUGCUUGGCGGUGGGUGGAAACCAGGCUGUUUCUCUUGGAUGGUCCUUCCUGGGCUAUUCAUUCAUUCAACGGCUAUUUACUGGACACCUACUAAGUGGCAGGCGCCGUGCCAGGAACAACUUUGCCCCUCGGGACUGUCCCUUCGACUUGGCAAAAAUAUUCACAACUGUGGCUUCUGGGCUCACAUCACAGUCCUGAGUAGCAGGAAGGGCUCCGAUGGACAAGGCUUUUUGACAAAUCAGAGGCCCAAGAAGGUGCCACGAGUUCUGCAAGUGUGCACAACACAGCAGCCUUCACUCCACCUUCUGCCCCCUGGCCUGGGAGAAUGAAAUCCUCCGGACAUCUUGCCUGAGGGCAGCUAAAAGAGAUUGAUUUACCACAUUUUGUGGCCUCCUCUACGCUGGGGGGAACAAUUCUUACUGUGAACACUUGUGCUGGGAGCUCCAGCUGUCUGGCAACCUUCUUCCCUACCACGUGGUCACUUUUUAAAAACAUGUGCCCCAAAUCCAUCAUGGAAAUUGCUCGACUUUCCAGUAGAAAGCCAUCGGGAACCUUUUCCGCCUUUGCCAAAGUGAGGAAAAUUUCUGAAAAGUUUGAUGAGCAAUUUUUCUUGGAAACGCCAAGCUGCAAGAUUUUUAAUCAGCCUUCACGAGCUAGCAGCUGGGUUUCCACUGGAUCCAGUCUCUUUCUGCUUGCCUGAACUUCACAGGGUAUGGAAAGCAGACCCCAGAAAUUCCUGAUUUCUUCUUGGAAGAGCAAGCCCCGUAAAAGACUCAGGGCCUUUUUGUUCUCAAGCUCUGUUGAUACUUCACGUCAUCACCAGGCCCUGCUCGAGGCCAGUGAGUCACAGGGCAAGGACGCCAUGGAUCUACCCAGAACGAACACGUUGUGGGUCACGCAAACAUAUGUGAUGCACACAUGUCCUGCACACUCACCACACCUACUUAUUCUGAUGUCCACUAUAUACAACAGGCACGCUUCACACACCCCGCACACCACUGACACAGAACACAAACUAUGCUCUACAGUCACAACUGCCGUACAGGACACACCGAAUACACACACACACGCUCAUGCCACACCUCCACUACACGAAUAUGCCUCGUGCGUUAACAUGUAUUAUAUACAUACAACAUAUUCACAAACAUACACAACAUUCCCAAACACACACAGAUACACAUGCAUUUCCCAAACACAUCCUAUUUUCUGAUUAAAGCUCUCAAGAUUUUAGUUUCCGUUUAAACCCAAUUAUAUGACUCAUCAACUUCCUUUGGCCUGUCCUUUUCUUUCUUGACAAUUUUUAUGGAUUUUUUUCUGUUUCAGCAAAAAACAAACAAAGCAACAACAACAACAAAAUUUUCCUUCUUAUUAGCUAUAAAUAAAUGCAGCUGGGCAUACAUUUUUCAAAAUGCCAGGAAAACAAAUAGACCAAGAACUCAGAUGUGGGAGCGUUCACCCUCCCUUUUCUUCUGCGUGAAACUGUGCCUAUGCCUUUGUUUAGACAAGGCUAAGUGGUGGGUGCUUGGAGACACCUGCGUUCCAUCUAGGUGUUUGGCCCUGGGGAAUACACAGAAGAUUUGUCACAAGGACUGGGAGAACCUCUCUUCAUAGAAGGUUGGUCCACCCCCUGCCCCUCUGCCCACCGUUAGAACGUAGGGCGUUAUGAAGACCAGAGGAAGAAGGCAUGUGUACCACCCCCCUCUCAGGAGGCCACAGCAGACAUCACUAAUAGAUCACAGCAUCUGUCCCUCCCAGCCUGGACCUGACAUCACAAUCCUCCACCCAGCCUUAUCAGUUAGUCAGGGCUGGCAGGUGACAUGGGAACUAUUUGAGAUCCCACAGAGCCCAGCGCCCUGGGUUUAGGGGUGAGGAAACUGAGGCCCAAAGAGGCAGAGUGCCUUGUGUGAGGUCACACAGCACCAUUCAAUCUGCUCAGCUCUGCGCUCCACAGAUGUGGCUGGUGCGGGGCAGGGACCUUGCUGAGGGCUGAAGGAGAGGGGCCAGAGGGAGGUGAGGCCAGGCUGGGUCUCCUUAGACACACUGAGCCCCUGUUUCCCUGCUCUAAGCCCUGCCCACCCCUCACUGGGACAAGCUGAGGGUCCCUGCUCUUGGACACAGUGCCCCUGGCCCUCCAUCCCUGGGCCUCUGACCUUUAAGAUCAAGGCAGGGAGUAGGGAGCCUUUCAGGGUUCAUGGAGGUCACCCCCCUGCAGUGCUCUUCCCUCUUCCCCGAAGCCUUUCCGACCCCACCAGUUCUCACCAAGUGUUUCUCCCCAGAAUUGCCGCCCCUCACAAGGAGAAGUUUGUCCAUACACUGGUACCUAUUGGCCUCUUAGCACCAAGUUUGGUCCCUCUGCUAAGCCGGAAGUGCCCCUUCUGAGUGCCACAGCUUUGCCACUGCGGUGCCUCUGCCCUUUCCACCUUCCCCAGCUUCCCACCCACCCUUUAACACCCAUCACAGAUGUCACCCUGCCUUCCCCAAAGCACAUACGGGCCUCCCUCAAAAUCACCAAAACUGUGUUUCUGGGCUUUUCUCACAACCCUGAUCAGGUUGCCUGCUGUUGUCACGAGAGUGAAUGAGUGGUGUCUGGGUUGCAUCCCCUCGAUGCAGUGACUUUGGACUUGCAGUAACUACAGUACUCCUCUCCGAGGGGCAAUCCCCUCCCUCCAGAGACAACGGCCAGGCACCUCAGGACUAGUGUGGGAACUUCUACUUGUCCUCACUGAAAGCUCCCUGGCCAGGCCCCCGCUCCUGGCACAUUGCAGGUGCUGGGACAUAUCUGCUGAUGCAUACGUUACGGGGCCCUGCCCUCCAGGGGUUCCUGGCCAACCGCACUCCACUGGACUCCUCCAGGCUGGACACAGGAGGGCUCCUGUGGACUGGUUGCCUGGCCUCCAGGCACUUUCUUUCGGGGCAGUCAGUCCCUCUGGGCAACAGCUGCAUCAGGAAGCACUAACGGGGGACACUGGAGGGGCAGCUUCUCCUCCUGGGCGGCCCUGUCACAGGGCCAGCUGGACACGGUGCCCCACCUGUGCUGCUAUUCCAGCCUGGGGUGGGCCUUGCGGCUGCCAGGGACAUUCUUUCCCUGGGGGCAGGAUACAGCUGCUUCGAGAGUGGCAGGGUGAGAGUGUGAGCCUCAGCAUUUGAGUCACAUCACACCCAGACAGUCAGAUGUUGACAGAGGUAGAUGUGCCAUCACACGUGCUCAUCACACACCCACACAGAUACCCUCACCCAGUUACAAACCACACAGGGCACAGACAUCUCCCCCAGGAGUUUGGGCAAAACCAACACUGAGAGAGGCUAAAAUGGUUUCUGAUGAUGAAGGAAGAAAACAGAGCAACCAAAGACAGAAGAGGAAAAACUCUGCCUCUACCAGUGGGAAAAUCCUCAGAUCCUAUUGCUUCCAGCCCAGCUCAAACCAGGACUUUGAGGACUGUCUUUAUCGUCUCUGUACCCCAGAGCCCAAAGCCUGGAGCUCAGACUAGUUAGCCUCACCAGCAGCCCCAUGAAGUACAUGGUGGAAAAAUGUUGGAUUGGGACCCAGGAGGUCUGGGUCUCCAGGCUCAGCCAGGACCAGCUGGGCGACCUCGGAUCAGUCCCUUGACUUCUCAGCUUCCUGGUCUCUGUGCAAAGGGCAGCUCUGAUGUCUUUUCAGCUUGGAAAUUUUGAAAAAGGGGGAGGGGGCAGGGUGAGACGAGGGGGCAGUGCGGGGUGAGAACUUAGAAAGGGAAACCCUCUGUCAAGUCUGGGAAUAUGGAGCACAUCCUAGGUUGCCCCUAGAAAUCUUCUUAGAGAAAGGAGAGACCAGGCCCUCCCUCCACUGGGUUAAGAGGCCACAUCCUAUGGCAAGCCUUCUUCACCUCCACGCUCACAAGCCCAUCCCGGGUGAGCCCCCCUUCAGCGCCCUCAGCAGGCACGCCUCCGUCUGAGAACCAGACUCUGUGACAAUGAUGCGGUGAGAUAAUACGGGAAAGGGCUUAGGUGUGCACCUGGUACAGUAACGCUGGCAUCCUCGUGGGUGAUUCCUUAUACCGAUUAGUGAACGGCUCUCUUGUAUUUCCAGGGACUUGUCUGUCCCAUCCAGGGCUAUUUCCUGAGGUGAGGACAGCAGCUGUUUUGUCCACUGCUCUACCCUAAAUGCCGCAGUGCUGGGCACACAGUAGGACCCAGCCACAUCUGGAUGAGACUCGGCUACACAGGUGGAAUCAUUGCAGAGCCAGGACCAGUGUGGAGGCAGCAGAGUGGUGAUGAAACUGAGACUCAGAGAGGACAAGUGAUCAUCCCAAGGUCACCCUUCCAGGAAGUGGCAGCAUCAGGACCAAGACCCCAGCCUGAGUUUAAGUCACACCCUUCUUCAUGCUGCCAAGAUUCUCAUCCACAGAAGAGAGAACAAGAGGUUUCCCUGCUGGGGACUUCCCUGGUGGCGCCGUGAUUAAGAAUCUGCCUGCCAAUGCAGGGGACAUGGGUUCGAGCCCUGGUCCGGGAAGAUCCCACA